UAGGGAAUAUUAGAAAUGGACGAAAGUCUGAUCUAGCAACACCGCGUGUGCGAAGAAGGCCUUCGGGUUGUAAAGCACUUUUUGGAAGGAAUAGGAAGGAAGGUACUUCCAGAAUAAGCCUCGGCUAACUACGUGCCAGCAGCCGCGGUAAAACGUAGGAGGCGAGCGUUAUCCGGAUUUACUGGGCGUAAAGCGUGUGUAGGCGGUUUGAUAAGUUGGAUGUGAAAGCUCCUGGCUUAACUGGGAGAGGUCGUUCAAAACUAUCAGACUUGAGAGUGGUAGAGGGAGGUGGAAUUCCGCAUGUAGUGGUGAAAUGCGUAGAUAUGCGGAGGAACACCAGUGGCGAAAGCGGCCUCCUGGCCCAUUUCUGACGCUCAGACACGAAAGCUAAGGUAGCAAACG
This 402-nucleotide ribosomal RNA is filed under the name uncultured prokaryote. RNAcentral describes it as "bacterial SSU rRNA". It matches the Rfam family "Bacterial small subunit ribosomal RNA", at positions 355 to 774 of the family's 1533-position model. The record is from RNAcentral.